GUCCUCUUCGUCUAGUGGUCAGGACCUCGCCCUUUCAAGGCGAAAACAUGAGUUCAAUUCUCAUAGGGGAU
Molecule: transfer RNA, 71 nt
Filed under: Chromochloris zofingiensis
Lineage: Eukaryota; Viridiplantae; Chlorophyta; Chlorophyceae; Sphaeropleales; Chromochloridaceae
Description: tRNA-Glu
Rfam family: tRNA
About the family: Transfer RNA (tRNA) molecules are approximately 80 nucleotides in length. Their secondary structure includes four short double-helical elements and three loops (D, anti-codon, and T loops).
Source: RNAcentral